CCUCUUGCCAUCGGAUGUGCCCAGAUGGGAUUAGCUAGUAGGUGGGGUAACGGCUCACCUAGGCGACGAUCCCUAGCUGGUCUGAGAGGAUGACCAGCCACACUGGAACUGAGACACGGUCCAGACUCCUACGGGAGGCAGCAGUGGGGAAUAUUGCACAAUGGGCGCAAGCCUGAUGCAGCCAUGCCGCGUGUAUGAAGAAGGCCUUCGGGUUGUAAAGUACUUUCAGCGAGGAGGAAGGUGUUGUGGUUAAUAACYGCAGCAAUUGACGUUACUCGCAGAAGAAGCACCGGCUAACUCCGUGCCAGCAGCCGCGGUAAUACGGAGGGUGCAAGCGUUAAUCGGAUUACUCAA
This 354-nucleotide ribosomal RNA is filed under the name uncultured Citrobacter sp. RNAcentral's name for it is "bacterial SSU rRNA". It matches the Rfam family "Bacterial small subunit ribosomal RNA", at positions 211 to 557 of the family's 1533-position model. The record is from RNAcentral. Lineage: Bacteria; Pseudomonadati; Pseudomonadota; Gammaproteobacteria; Enterobacterales; Enterobacteriaceae.